GCCUGAGUGGCUCAGUCGGUUGAGUGUCUGACUUCGACUCAGGUCGUGAUAUUGCGGUUCAUGGGUUUAAGCCCCGCAUCGGGCU
This 85-nucleotide transfer RNA is filed under the name Felis catus (domestic cat). It matches the Rfam family "tRNA". From Rfam's summary of the family: Transfer RNA (tRNA) molecules are approximately 80 nucleotides in length. Their secondary structure includes four short double-helical elements and three loops (D, anti-codon, and T loops). Further hydrogen bonds mediate the characteristic L-shaped molecular structure. tRNAs have two regions of fundamental functional importance: the anti-codon, which is responsible for specific mRNA codon recognition, and the 3' end, to which the tRNAs corresponding amino acid is attached (by aminoacyl-tRNA synthetases). tRNAs cope with the degeneracy of the genetic code in two manners: having more than one tRNA (with a specific anti-codon) for a particular amino acid; and 'wobble' base-pairing, i.e. permitting non-standard base-pairing at the 3rd anti-codon position. Lineage: Eukaryota; Metazoa; Chordata; Mammalia; Carnivora; Felidae. The record is from Rfam by way of RNAcentral.